RNAcentral lists this ribosomal RNA (951 nucleotides) under Triticum aestivum (bread wheat). RNAcentral's name for it is "partial small subunit ribosomal RNA". Lineage: Eukaryota; Viridiplantae; Streptophyta; Magnoliopsida; Poales; Poaceae. The record is from RNAcentral.
AUGCACCACGCCAUUUCGCCAUUGCCGCGCCAUCACCCAUCAGUAGGGAGCGCGGGAGUGUGGCGCCCAUGGGAACCCGUCGCCGCCGCCGCCGCCGAGAUGCCCAUUGUUUGGUGGCAUGUUGAACAUCGGCAUCGCCGACGGGUCGGGCAUCCCGUGCCCGUGCCCGUGGACGUGGACGCCGCCGGCCAUGAGCGGGUCGUGCGCCAUCGGCGGGCCCGAGCCCUCGUCCUCGUCCUCCAGCGGCAGGCGCUCGUAGGUGGCGUUGGCGAACGUGGACGCGAUCACCAUGACGGGGCCCGCGGCGACGAGCGAGCCCACCACGCUGCCGCCGACCACCUGCCCCUGCCCGCCGGCCAGGUACACGGUGAGCCCCGUGGACCCCGGCGGCGCGGGCCCCGGGAGGAAGGUCCCCGUGAGCGAGAGGAUCUCGAAGCGGCCAUGGAGGGCCACCACGGCUCCGCCGGGGGCCGACGGCUGGCGCAGCGCGACGUUGGCCACGGUCCCGGCGCCGCUGAGCACGCACACGCCGCGCUGCCGGCGGCGCGAGAACUGCGCGAUGGCGUCGCACACGUCGGCGCCGCCGGCCACCUCCAUCACGUGGCUGCGCAGCGCGUUGGGGCUGUCGCGCGUCACGAAGAUGGGCGGCUUCGGCUUGUUCUUGGAACCCGGCGGCCGGCCCCGGGGCCGCCGGUUCGGGGCGGGCACCACCGCGCCCAGAUCGCGCGGCUCACCGCCACCGACAGUCUCUUUGUUCUCGUCCGCGUGCUCGCCGCCACCGGAAGUCGGGCUGGUCUCAGGGUCUUUGACGACGAGGGCGAGCGACUCGACCUUGGGGCCCGACGAGCCGGACGGCUGCUCCGGCGCCACGCCCGGCAGCCCCAAAUGGCCGUCCCACCACCGGUUCGCCAUGAAGUCUUCGGUCACCACCUUGAAGAUGAAUCUAGCUAG